Molecule: long non-coding RNA, 393 nt
Organism: Colias croceus (clouded yellow)
Lineage: Eukaryota; Metazoa; Arthropoda; Insecta; Lepidoptera; Pieridae
Exons: 2
Source: RefSeq, a predicted model, not a curated record
CUGGUUUUGAACAUAAAAUAACAUGUAAACAGACGCUCUUUAUAAAUAGAUGCAAUGUGUUUUUGUGCUUAGUUGUUUGCCAUUCUUCCUCCCGAAAGCAUAUUCAUAAUUAUUAAUUAAUUCACUAGAGUUAUUAUCAAAAUGGUGUCAAAGUCAGUUUUCAUUCUCUUGCUUGUGUGCGUGGUCGGUGUUAUGUCUGGCCCGCUGCAGUGUGCGUGUACGUUCAACUAUGAGCCUGUGUGCGGGUCUGAUGGCAAGGACUAUGACAACACAAGCUGCAUGCGCUGUGCGGACCCCAACUUGACAGUCGCGAAGUAUGGACACUGCGCGGGAGAUGAAAAACUUGAAGUUGUUAAUGAAUAAUGUUCUUGAAUAAAUGAUUUUGAUAUAUGU